RNAcentral lists this ribosomal RNA (411 nucleotides) under uncultured prokaryote. RNAcentral's name for it is "bacterial SSU rRNA". It matches the Rfam family "Bacterial small subunit ribosomal RNA", at positions 505 to 918 of the family's 1533-position model. The record is from RNAcentral.
GUGUCAGCCGCCGCGGUAAUACGGAGGGUGCGAGCGUUGUCCGGAAUCAUUGGGUGUAAAGGGUGCGUAGGCGGGUUGCUAAGUCUGGGGUGAAAUCCUGCCGCUUAACGGUAGAAUGGCCCCCGAUACUGGCAGUCUUGAGUACAGAAGAGGUCGGUGGAAUUCGUAGUGUAGCGGUGAAAUGCAUAGAUAUUACGAAGAACACCAGUGGCGAAGGCGGCCGGCUGGUCUGUAACUGACGCUGAGGCACGAAAGCGUGGGGAGCGAACAGGAUUAGAUACCCUGGUAGUCCACGCUGUAAACGAUGUAUGCUAGGUGUCGGCCUUUCGGGGUCGGUGCUGCAGUUAACGCAGUAAGCAUACCACCUGGGGAGUACGUCGGCAACGAUGAAACUUAAAGGAAUUGGCGGGG